Molecule: ribosomal RNA, 253 nt
Filed under: uncultured bacterium
Lineage: Bacteria
Description: partial 16S ribosomal RNA
Rfam family: Bacterial small subunit ribosomal RNA
Source: RNAcentral
UACGGGGGGGGCAAGCGUUGUUCGGAAUUACUGGGCGUAAAGGGCUCGUAGGUGGCCAACUAAGUCAGACGUGAAAUCCCUCGGCUUAACCGGGGAACUGCGUCUGAUACUGGAUGGCUAGAGUUUGGGAGAGGGAUGCGGAAUUCCAGGUGUAGCGGUGAAAUGCGUAGAUAUCUGGAGGAACACCGGUGGCGAAGGCGGCGUCCUGGACCAACACUGACACUGAUGAGCGAAAGCCAGGGGAGCAAACGGG